UACGUAGGACCCGAGCGUUGUCCGGAAUUACUGGGUGUAAAGGGCGUGUAGGUGGGCCUCUCAGUCGGUGGUGAAAUCCUGCGGCUUAACCGCAGAACUGCCGCCGAUACUGGAGGUCUUGAGUACGGCAGAGGGAGAUGGAAUUCAUGGUGUAGCGGUGAAAUGUGUAGAUAUCAUGAAGAACACCGGUUGCGAAGGCGGUCUCCUGGUCCGUUACUGACACUGAGGCGCGAAAGCGUGGGGAGCAAACAGG
Molecule: ribosomal RNA, 253 nt
Filed under: uncultured bacterium
Lineage: Bacteria
Description: partial 16S ribosomal RNA
Rfam family: Bacterial small subunit ribosomal RNA
Source: RNAcentral